RNAcentral lists this ribosomal RNA (497 nucleotides) under uncultured bacterium. RNAcentral describes it as "partial 16S ribosomal RNA". It matches the Rfam family "Bacterial small subunit ribosomal RNA", at positions 28 to 507 of the family's 1533-position model. The record is from RNAcentral.
GAUGAACGCUGGCGGCGUGCCUAAUACAUGCAAGUCGAGCGAACGGACGAGAAGCUUGCUUCUCUGAUGUUAGCGGCGGACGGGUGAGUAACACGUGGAUAACCUACCUAUAAGACUGGGAUAACUUCGGGAAACCGGAGCUAAUACCGGAUGAUAUUUUGAACCGCAUGGUUCAAAAGUGAAAGACGAUCUUGCUGUCACUUAUAGAUGGAUCCGCGCUGCAUUAGCUAGUUGGUAAGGUAACGGCUUACCAAGGAAACGAUGCAUAGCCGACCUGAGAGGGUGAUCGGCCACACUGGAACUGAGACACGGUCCAGACUCCUACGGGAGGCAGCAGUAGGGAAUCUUCCGCAAUGGGCGAAAGCCUGACGGAGCAACGCCGCGUGAGUGAUGAAGGUCUUCGGAUCGUAAAACUCUGUUAUUAGGGAAGAACAUAUGUGUAAGUAACUGUGCACAUCUUGACGGUGCCUAAUCAGAAAGCCACGGCUAACUACGUG